CGAGGACUUGAAAGAAAUUCAAUGUGACACAUUUCGACUUGUGACCCGAGUUCUCCGAGCGGCGUCAACACGCGUCUCGAUGCUCGCAAUUUGGCGCUGUCGCUGCUUUACAAAAAAGAUACCGCUCGGGCCGUGCAGGUUUUGAGCGUGCAGGAACAACUGAUCAGCAAAGCCGAAGACCCCACUGAACGAGCGGAAGAGCUGAUUCGGUUUGCGGGCAUCGCGACGCGUAUUGACGUCGAGCGAGGCUAUGACGCGGCGCGGCAAGCGGUUGAUGCCCUCAACCGAUCCAGCAUUGGCCCACAAUGGGUGAAGCUGGAAAACGUAACCGACGCGGCCGGUCGAACGACAUCGAGGAGGCACGUGGGCUUGCAGGUGUUGGCGAGUUUCCUCUUCGACAACACCUUUUCGGAACUCGCGCGUUAUGAUUUCGACCGCGCGCUGCGGUUGGCUCAAGCAUUAGAGAUGAAAGAGGCGGCAGCCUUUGCGCAGCUCGGGCUCUGCCGAGGUGUGCUUAAGUGACGGUGACGGCGCUCUUCGUUGUUCAUCUCUACCAGAUCAUGCUUCUGACCCAGAGCACAACAAAGAACCCGUAGAACACUGCCAUCCCGAUCAGAGCUGCGCGCCUCCACCACGAAGGCCGAAGCGCCUUUGGCAAGAGCGUCGUGUUUACAUAAAGAAUGUGGAUCGACGCGAUGAUAAACACUAUCCCCGCCAUGUUAGCGCCAAGUUGCAGCAACACGAUGGGCUGCGCCAGACGCAACGCAAUGACUCCCCAGACCACCGCCACCGCAAGCACGCUGUAGUAAACAACUCUCACAUCGCCGCCGCGCCAUUCUCGCAGGCGUUUGUUGCUGGUCCAGAGGAUGUCCGUGAUCGCGCGGUCAUACCCUCGAGGAUAUCGAGUUGCGUCUUCAGCAGAAUCCACGCUCCCAUGAAAGCCACCGCACCUCCCGCAAGCGCCCCGACCUUGCCCGCCAUCGCGUGCGCAAGCGCUGCUCCGAUUCCUAUCCCCCGGAUCUCGCUUCCGCGCGGCAGGAAGGUGACGUACAACAACGCGGGAAGGACCAUUCCAAGCAUCGAGCCUACGAAAAACACUGCCCACUGGUCCGCUUUGAUGAUUCGCCACCAGCCGCGCCACCGCCCGAGCGAGUCUUCCGUCGGCUGGAACGUCGUACCCGUGUGCGCGAGGUUUACCUUAUGACCGCCUACCAGUGCGGGAAUGUAGCCGGUGAUCUGGCUCAUCCCGUACCCUUUGUCGCGAGCCCAGUUUGUGAGAGUGAUGUUGCCCACCCCGCCGCAGCCGGAGUAAGCAGCCAGCGCGCCCAGCAGGAAAUAGUCGGCGCCUGCCGGGAGAAAGCUAAAACCACCGGUUGUCGUAUCGUAACCAACAACUCCGGCGCCGGCAGCGAGCCACGUCGCCGAAUCCGUAUACAUCAAAGCCAACACCAGGAACGAGCCAAGGAUAACAACGAUCAAUAUCCAGUUGAGCAGUUCCAGUGUUCGUUCGAUCCGUCGUCCGAUCAGCAGAACGAGGACGCAAAAGACGAAUGUUCCGGCGCCGAUCGCAUAAACAACGUUGCCAUCGGUUGGAUCGGGCAGCCUCUGCGUCGAGAGCAGGAAUAUGGCCGCUGCGGCAUUCCCGGCCCAGGCGGGCCAACCCAUCUGCAGAAAGUACAGCACUACAUAAAACCAGGCCCAGAAGCUGGAGUUUGGUCUGGUGCGCAUGAAUCCGGUGAUCGCCGGCUCACCGGUAGCGAGCGUAUAUCGCAUCAGUUCGAAGUUAAAGAUGGUCUGGAGGAACACAGCGAUGGUGGUGAUCCACAACAGCGCAAACCCGUAGUUGACGAACGCGGCCGGCCCGAGCAGAAACUCUCCGCUGCCGAUGGACAUGCCCAGCACGAUCACCCCCGGGCCAACCACGCCAAGCCAACCAAGCCCCCUGGGCAUUGGAGGCGCGGGCAAUUCAGCCUGCUUCCACGGGUCUAAACCCGAUCGCGCUUCGCGAGCCUCGAUUGCACGUUGUUCAACCAUAGCGAUUCAAUCAACCCGGUCGGGUUGCCGCGCGCGAAUGCGCGGCGCGCUAGCCAACGAGUUCGCUCCAUCUGCCUUCUCGUAAUUCUUCGGGCGAGAUUGCAGUGACAUAGGUUUCCUGUUUAAAAGGCGUAAAGCCGCGUCGACGAUAAUUGGGCAUCGCAGCCUUGUCAUCCAGCGUGCACGUGUGCAGCCAAACUCGAUUAGCACCAUCGCUCCAGGCUUGCUCAGCCGCGACGGUCAGAAGGUGUUUGCCUAAGCCGCGGCCAAGAAACUCCUGGAUCAGACCGAAGUAGGCGAUCUCGAUUGAGCCGUCGGGGUAACGCUCGAGUUCGAAGUAUCCAGCGGGCGCGCCUUCGCUGUACAUCACCCAGAGUGUUAUUUCGGGACGCGCGAGAUGAGAGCGAAUUUGGUCGUCUGUCCACGGGAGCCGAUCGGUCCAGUGAUAGAACCGGCCUACCUCGCUGUAGAGAUAGCGAUAAAACGACGCGGGACACUCGGCCACGCGUUCAAUUCGGACCCGCGAAUCAUCUACGCGAGCCGGAUUGAGGUCUUCGGGAUAUGCGAGAUGAAGAUAGGUGCGAGUGACUUCGACGUUCAUGGCCGUUCAGAAUAUAAACACAAAGACACCAAGCCACAAAGCAAAAGAGCUCUUCAGCACCCUCCUGGCGAAGUGCACGGCGCGGAUUCCGAAUUUACCCAAAUUACUCCGCGCGCAGCGACGGUAGCAACGGCAUCCGCAACGCCGCCACCGUUGCAGCCACCGAAGCCAACAGCCCGAUCACUAACACAACCACUAACAAUCCCAAUGAGAGCGCGGGGACGUGGCCGCCCCGUGAAAAGAAGGCCGGGCCGAUGGCUACAAGCGCCGAUACUGCUCCCGUCACCAACCCACUGAACACAAGAAAAGCAUUCUCGGUAAUCACCAUGAACG
RNAcentral lists this unclassified non-coding RNA (2968 nucleotides) under uncultured fungus. Its description in RNAcentral is "sequence contains 18S rRNA gene, ITS1, 5.8S rRNA gene, ITS2, 28S rRNA gene". The record is from RNAcentral. Lineage: Eukaryota; Fungi.